CUGCACACUGCACAUAGUGCACUAUUCAUCCAAUGGGGAGCCAUUUGGGAUUCGGGUUUCAGUCGCGUCGUUUCUGAUUGGCUGCGACUCUGAUAAGCGUUGAUUUCUAUUGGCUGUUGGACACGUCAGUUCAGUCCCUCCAGACCGGCGUCAUGACGUCAGGGCGGAGAGGCGGGGCUACCGCGAGUGUCUCAGCUUUAUCCCAGAUGUUUAUGUAACAUUGAUGGAAGGAGUCUCCAGUGUCAGCGCUUUGUAACAGUCAGAGAGGGAGAAUAAAGAGAGGCUGGUGAGGGAACGAGUGUUUAUAGCUGCUAUAAGGUAAGUGACGUAAGUUUAUAGCUGCUAUAACGUAAGUGAUGUAAGUUAGAGGAACUAACUUGUUUCACAGCUUUCCACAACAU
Pangasianodon hypophthalmus (striped catfish) is the source of this 401-nucleotide long non-coding RNA. RefSeq lists it as uncharacterized. The record is from RefSeq and is a predicted model, not a curated record. The transcript has 3 exons. NCBI's taxonomy places the organism in Eukaryota, Metazoa, Chordata, Actinopteri, Siluriformes, Pangasiidae.